RNAcentral lists this ribosomal RNA (492 nucleotides) under uncultured bacterium. RNAcentral describes it as "partial 16S ribosomal RNA". It matches the Rfam family "Bacterial small subunit ribosomal RNA", at positions 29 to 507 of the family's 1533-position model. The record is from RNAcentral.
AGUGAACGCUGGCGGUAGGCCUAACACAUGCAAGUCGAACGGCAGCACAGUAAGAGCUUGCUCUUACGGGUGGCGAGUGGCGGACGGGUGAGGAAUACAUCGGAAUCUACUUUUUCGUGGGGGAUAACGUAGGGAAACUUACGCUAAUACCGCAUACGACCUACGGGUGAAAGCAGGGGAUCUUCGGACCUUGCGCGAUUGAAUGAGCCGAUGUCGGAUUAGCUAGUUGGCGGGGUAAAGGCCCACCAAGGCGACGAUCCGUAGCUGGUCUGAGAGGAUGAUCAGCGACAGGGGAAGGGAGACACGGUGCAGAGUCCUACGGGAGGCAGCAGUGGGGAAUAUUGGAAGAUGGGCGCAAUCCUGAUCCAGCCAUACCGCGGGGGUGAAGAAGGCCUUAGGGUUGUAAAGCCCUGUUGUUGGGAAAGAAAAGCAGCAGGUUAAGACCCCGCUGUUCGGACGGGACCCAAAGAAGAAGCACCGGCUAACUUCGUG